GCAGUGGGGAAUAUUGCACAAUGGGCGCAAGCCUGAUGCAGCCAUGCCUCGUGUAUGAAGAAGGCCUUCGGGUUGUAAAGUACUUUCAGUUGUGAGGAAGGGUGUGUAGUUAAUAGCUGCGCAUCUUGACGUUAGCAACAGAAGAAGCACCGGCUAACUC
Molecule: ribosomal RNA, 160 nt
Filed under: uncultured bacterium
Lineage: Bacteria
Description: partial 16S ribosomal RNA
Rfam family: Bacterial small subunit ribosomal RNA
Source: RNAcentral